This 677-nucleotide ribosomal RNA is filed under the name uncultured Lachnospiraceae bacterium. RNAcentral describes it as "bacterial SSU rRNA". It matches the Rfam family "Bacterial small subunit ribosomal RNA", at positions 53 to 728 of the family's 1533-position model. Lineage: Bacteria; Bacillati; Bacillota; Clostridia; Lachnospirales; Lachnospiraceae. The record is from RNAcentral.
ACAUGCAAGUCGAACGAAGCACUUUGAUCGAUUUCUUCGGAUUGAAAUUUUAGUGACUGAGUGGCGGACGGGUGAGUAACGCGUGGGUAACCUGCCUCACACAGGGGGAUAACAGUUGGAAACGGCUGCUAAUACCGCAUAAGCGCACAGUACCGCAUGGUACAGUGUGAAAAACUCCGGUGGUGUGAGAUGGACCCGCGUCUGAUUAGCUAGUUGGCAGGGCAACGGCCUACCAAGGCGACGAUCAGUAGCCGACCUGAGAGGGUGACCGGCCACAUUGGGACUGAGACACGGCCCAAACUCCUACGGGAGGCAGCAGUGGGGAAUAUUGCACAAUGGGGGAAACCCUGAUGCAGCGACGCCGCGUGAGCGAAGAAGUAUUUCGGUAUGUAAAGCUCUAUCAGCAGGGAAGAAGAAAUGACGGUACCUGACUAAGAAGCACCGGCUAAAUACGUGCCAGCAGCCGCGGUAAUACGUAUGGUGCAAGCGUUAUCCGGAUUUACUGGGUGUAAAGGGAGCGCAGGCGGAAGGCUAAGUCUGAUGUGAAAGCCCGGGGCUCAACCCCGGUACUGCAUUGGAAACUGGUCAUCUAGAGUGUCGGAGGGGUAAGUGGAAUUCCUAGUGUAGCGGUGAAAUGCGUAGAUAUUAGGAGGAACACCAGUGGCGAAGGCGGCUUA